GACGAACGCUGGCGGCGUGCUUAACACAUGCAAGUCGAACGGUAAGGCCCUUCGGGGUACACGAGUGGCGAACGGGUGAGUAACACGUGGGUGAUCUGCCCUGCACUUCGGGAUAAGCCUGGGAAACUGGGUCUAAUACCGGAUAGGACUCCUGGCUUCAUGGUUGGGGGUGGAAAGCUUGUGCGGUGUGGGAUGGGCCCGCGGCCUAUCAGCUUGUUGGUGGGGUAAUGGCCUACCAAGGCGACGACGGGUAGCCGGCCUGAGAGGGUGACCGGUCACACUGGGACUGAGAUACGGCCCAGACUCCUACGGGAGGCAACAGUGGGGAAUAUUGCACAAUGGGCGCAAGCCUGAUGCAGCGACGCCGCGUGAGGGAUGACGGCCUUCGGGUUGUAAACCUCUUUCAGCUAUGACGAAGCGCAAGUGACGGUAGUAGCAGAAGAAGGACCGGCCAACUACGUGCCAGCAGCCGCCGUAA
This 478-nucleotide ribosomal RNA is filed under the name uncultured bacterium. Its description in RNAcentral is "partial 16S ribosomal RNA". It matches the Rfam family "Bacterial small subunit ribosomal RNA", at positions 28 to 523 of the family's 1533-position model. The record is from RNAcentral.